AGAGUUUGAUCCUGGCUCAGGACGAACGCUAGCGGCGGGCUUAAUACAUGCAAGUUUAGGGGUUCAGCAAUGGACACCGGCGGACGGGUGCGUAACACGUAUGCAACCUGCCCUUUACUGGAGGAUACUCCGGAGAAAUUCGGCACAACACUCCAUAUACUCAUACUUUCGCAUGGGAGAAUGAGGAAAGGUUACGGUAAAGGAUGGGCAUGCGUCUGAUUAGCUAGUUGGCGAGGUAACGGCUCACCAAGGCGACGAUCAGUAGCUGGUCUGAGAGGAUGAUCAGCCACACUGGCACUGAGAUACGGGCCAGACUCCUACGGGAGGCAGCAGUAGGGAAUAUUGGUCAAUGGGCGAAAGCCUGAACCAGCCACGCCGCGUGCAGGAAGAAGGUCCUCUGGAUUGUAAACUGCUUUUGCCAAGGGAUAAAGAGAGGCUAUACGCCUAAAUGAAGGUACUUGGUGAAUAAGCCACGGCUAACUACGUGCCAGCAGCCGCGGUAAUACGUAGGUGGCAAGCGUUGUCCGGAUUCACUGGGUUUAAAGGGUGCGUAGGCGGCUCCAUAAGUCAGUCGUUAAAGGUAUGGGCUUAACCCAAAUAAGGCGAUUGAUACUGUGGAGCUUGAAUUCGUUGGAGGUAUCCGGAAUGCGUAGUGUAGCGGUGAAAUGCACAGAUAUUACGCAGAACACCAAUUGCGGAGGCAGGAUACUACGACGAGAUUGACGCUGAGGCACGAAAGUGUGGGGAGCGAACAGGAUUAGAUACCCUGGUAGUCCACACUGUAAACGAUGGUUACUAGAUGUUCGGUGGCAAUACUGAGUGUUCAAGCGAAAGCGAUAAGUAACCCACCUGGGGAGUACGACCGCAAGGUUGAAACUCAAAGGAAUUGACGGGGGCCCGCACAAGCGGUGGAGCAUGUGGUUUAAUUCGAUGAUACGCGAGGAACCUUACCUGGGCUAGAAUGCCUUUGACCGUCCCUGAAAGGGGAUUUCUCUUCGGAGCAAAGUGCAAGGUGCUGCAUGGUUGUCGUCAGCUCGUGCCGUGAGGUGUUGGGUUAAGUCCCGCAACGAGCGCAACCCUUAUCAGUAGUUGCCAACAGGUAAUGCUGGGGACUCUACUGAGACUGCCUUCGCAAGGAGUGAGGAAGGUGGGGAUGACGUCAAAUCAUCAUGGCCCUUACGCCCAGGGCUACACACGUGCUACAAUGGCAGGUACAGAGGGUCGCAAAGUGGUGACACUAAGCCAAUCUCAAAAAGCCUGUCCCAGUUCGGAUUGAAGUCUGCAACUCGACUUCAUGAGGUUGGAAUCGCUAGUAAUCGCAGAUCAGCCAUGCUGCGGUGAAUACGUUCCCGGGCCUUGUACACACCGCCCGUCAAGCCAUGGAAGCUGGGGGUACCUGAAGGCGGUAUCCGCAAGGAGCUGUUUAGGGUAAAACUGGUAACUGGGGCUAAGUCGGAACAAGGUAGCCGUACCGGAAGGUGCGGCUG
RNAcentral lists this ribosomal RNA (1487 nucleotides) under metagenome. RNAcentral describes it as "bacterial SSU rRNA". It matches the Rfam family "Bacterial small subunit ribosomal RNA". The record is from RNAcentral.